Long non-coding RNA from Limulus polyphemus (Atlantic horseshoe crab), 362 nucleotides. RefSeq lists it as uncharacterized. The transcript is spliced from 3 exons. The record is from RefSeq and is a predicted model, not a curated record. NCBI's taxonomy places the organism in Eukaryota, Metazoa, Arthropoda, Merostomata, Xiphosura, Limulidae.
UUGUACUGCGCAUGGUAGGGCCUUUGUUACAAUUUUUCUUUUAGAGUUUAUCAUAAUAUUUUUAAUAAAAAUUCUCUUAUCCUAGAAGCAAGAUGUAGUCAACACUUCCACUUAUCAGAAAGGAGAUAGACUAUAUUCUUAGUUCGAAAAGGUACUUGUGAUGCUGCUUUUUGGAUAUGUGCAUGACUCAUCAGUGAUUUCAAAUGAGGAGAAAAGAGCCUUAUGUUGUAAAAAGAGGUGUCUAAUUACAACAGUAUAAUCAAUGAUUGGUUAACAGAAGACAUUUCGGGAAAAAGUAAGGUGCAGACAGUUGCCAAAAAAAGACAGAAAAAGUGAGUAGAAGAAUGAUGUUAUUUCGUAAA